UGCCUUCUGUUGUACGCACGGUGUCGGUUCUAGAAAUUUUUACUCCAUUAUAUUGUUUUCUUAGACAAGGACAAAUAAGACUAUAGGAGCUAUAUAAUCAGACUUUGUUUAGAUGCACCCAAAAUUCUAAAAGUUUAUAAGAUUCUCAAUCACAUCGAAUCUUUAUACGCCUGCAUAAAGCAUUAAAUAUAGAUAAAAAAUAACUAAUUACACAGUUUACCUGUAAAUCAUGAGACGAAUCUUUUGAGCCUAGUUAGUCCAUAGUUAAACAAUGUUUGUCAAAUAUAAACGAAAAUACUACAGUGUUAAAUUUCAAAAAAAAAAAAUGCAUCUAAACAAGGCCUCAAUUGUCUCAUCGACGUAAGCAGAAGAUAUAUGGCCAAUAAUUAGCUUCUUCUCUCCCACCUAACACGUUACAUGGACAGAGCUCAUAUAGGAGAUAGACCACAUAUACAAAUUAUAUACUCCUAUGUUUUAGUGGUUGCCAACCAUUCUAAUCAGGUUAUGAUCCACAAUGAUUAAUUUCCACUACCGAGUACACUGCCG
This 546-nucleotide long non-coding RNA is filed under the name Sorghum bicolor (sorghum). RNAcentral describes it as "long non-coding RNA (SBIC_LNC007221)". Lineage: Eukaryota; Viridiplantae; Streptophyta; Magnoliopsida; Poales; Poaceae. The record is from RNAcentral.